GAAAUGCGAUAAGUAAUGCGAAUUGCAGAAUUCAGUGAGUCAUCGAAUCUUUGAACGCAUAUUGCGCCCUUUGGCAUUCCGAAGGGCAUGUCUGUUCGAGCGUCAUUAUCAACCAUCAAGCCUGGCUUGUCGUUGGACCUCUUUUUUGCGGCUGAAAUAUGCUGCAGGUCCGAAAGAUAAUGACGGUGUCGUGUUUGACCCUAGAUGCAACGAGCUUUUUAUAGCACGCAUUGAAGUGGUCGGCCGAUCCGGUCUUAAUCAUUAAUUUUCUUAAGGUUGACCUCGAAUCAGAUAGGAAUACCCGCUGAACUUAA
RNAcentral lists this unclassified non-coding RNA (314 nucleotides) under uncultured Herpotrichiellaceae. RNAcentral's name for it is "sequence contains ITS1". The stretch from base 1 to 105 matches the Rfam family "5.8S ribosomal RNA", at positions 50 to 154 of the family's 154-position model. Lineage: Eukaryota; Fungi; Ascomycota; Eurotiomycetes; Chaetothyriales; Herpotrichiellaceae. The record is from RNAcentral.